UGGGGAAUAUUGCACAAUGGGCGCAAGCCUGAUGCAGCCAUGCCGCGUGUAUGAAGAAGGCCUUCGGGUUGUAAAGUACUUUCAGCGGGGAGGAAGGGAGUAAAGUUAAUACCUUUGCUCAUUGACGUUACUCGCAGAAGAAGCACCGGCUAACUCCGUGCCAGCAGCCGCGGUAAUACGGAGGGUGCAAGCGUUAAUCGGAAUUACUGGGCGUAAAGCGCACGCAGGCGGUUUGUUAAGUCAGAUGUGAAAUCCCCCGGCUCAACCUUGGAGCUGCAUCUGUUACUGGCCAUCUUGAGUCUCGUAGAGGGGGGUAGAAUUCCAGGUGUGGCGGUGAAAUGCGUAGAGAUCUUGAGGAAUACCGGUGGCGAAGGCGGCCCCCUGGACGAAGACUGACGCUCAGGUGCGAAAGCGUGGGUAGCAAACAGG
RNAcentral lists this ribosomal RNA (429 nucleotides) under Chloroflexota bacterium. RNAcentral describes it as "Chloroflexi bacterium partial 16S ribosomal RNA". It matches the Rfam family "Bacterial small subunit ribosomal RNA", at positions 355 to 776 of the family's 1533-position model. The record is from RNAcentral. Lineage: Bacteria; Bacillati; Chloroflexota.